Long non-coding RNA from Cucurbita pepo subsp. pepo (vegetable marrow), 780 nucleotides. RefSeq lists it as uncharacterized. The record is from RefSeq and is a predicted model, not a curated record. Lineage: Eukaryota; Viridiplantae; Streptophyta; Magnoliopsida; Cucurbitales; Cucurbitaceae.
CGAUAACCAAAUUUUGGACAUUUUAAUCGAGAAGAUAUAAAUCAUGUAAAUAUUAACUUUCGAAGGACUAAAUUGCAAAGACAUGGAGGGUGAGACGAGGACGAUAGUGAAAAUUUUCACAUUGGGGAAGGACUAAACUGCAAAUAUGAAUGUUAGUUCAACUUUUGACAUUUUAGUGGAGGAUAUAUAAAUCAUGCAAAUAUUUUUCAAGGUCUAAAUUGCAAAGAGAUUGAGAGAGACGAGAGCUUUGAUUCCUUCCAAAACUGUACAAUUUUGUUCAAUCCAUGGCGACAAAUUUGGGCGAGGCAAAAGGAAGCUUCAUCAAAAGGGACGUUGCAAGACGACGAUGGACUUCCGAUCAAACUGGCUUGGCAGAACGACGCUAUCUCUGAAUCCUCUGCGCAUCGGAUUCCGUCCACCGAAGGUAUUUCCAAUCUGUAAACUCCGUAUUUGUUUGUUGUUCUGUUCACUGAGAAUGCUAUCUGCUCCGCCGUACGCGGCGUUUCUGCUUUGAAUUUGCAGCUGAUUCGAACUUCUACACCUGAUUUUUUUCAUACAUAAACACACACGCAGUGCACCGACGAGUAUCGAUUUUAUCAGUCUUGCUUUUGAAUGAAUUGCUGAAUCAAAUGCUCUUAUUGAAAUUAGGUUAGAAAAUUGUAUCAACGAAGUUGAAAAUCAAAUUCAAAAUCAGUAUGAAAAUGCUGAAGAAGAUUAAAGUCUAAACAAACGGACAACAUAACUACAAAAACCAUUGCUCUUGAAAAGGAAAAAGAAGUU